UAGGGAAUCUUCCGCAAUGGGCGAAAGCCUGACGGAGCAACGCCGCGUGAGUGAUGAAGGUCUUCGGAUCGUAAAACUCUGUUAUUAGGGAAGAACAAAUGUGUAAGUAACUAUGCACGUCUUGACGGUACCUAAUCAGGAAGCCACGGCUAACUACGUGCCAGCAGCCGCGGUAAUACGUAGGUGGCAAGCGUUAUCCGGAAUUAUUGGGCGUAAAGCGCGCGUAGGCGGUUUUUUAAGUCUGAUGUGAAAGCCCACGGCUCAACCGUGGAGGGUCAUUGGAAACUGGAAAACUUGAGUGCAGAAGAGGAAAGUGGAAUUCCAUGUGUAGCGGUGAAAUGCGCAGAGAUAUGGAGGAACACCAGUGGCGAAGGCGACUUUCUGGUCUGUAACUGACGCUGAUGUGCGAAAGCGUGGGGAUCAAACAGGAUUAGAUACCCUGGUAGUCCACGCCGUAAACGAUGAGUGCUAAGUGUUAGGGGGUUUCCGCCCCUUAGUGCUGCAGCUAACGCAUUAAGCACUCCGCCUGGGGAGUACGACCGCAAGGUU
Molecule: ribosomal RNA, 549 nt
Filed under: uncultured bacterium
Lineage: Bacteria
Description: bacterial SSU rRNA
Rfam family: Bacterial small subunit ribosomal RNA
Source: RNAcentral